GGAAUUCCUAAAGCCAUAUAAAAAGGAUAAUGGCUUCGACAAAGGAUACAGAGCACCUAGUUUCAAGGAAAUGGCUGAAGAUAACUGAACAUACACAGACUCAAGAUGAACAAAAAGCCAAAGGAAAGCAUUACCUACCAUCAACUCCUUAAGGGCAGGAUCCCAGAUCCUGAAACCAAUGGACCAGAAUCCUGCCCCACUUCAAGAAUGAGUUGGCUCCUUGUUACCACGGUAAUAAGCGCCCCAUGAAUGGGGAUAAUUUGCCACUUUGCUGAAAAUUCAAGCAUUCUAUAGUUUUGGUUUUUUAACUGAGAAACGAGGUGGGAGGAGCAGCAGAACCAAUUAUAGAGUACAUUUAAACAA
This 363-nucleotide long non-coding RNA is filed under the name Homo sapiens (human). RNAcentral describes it as "novel transcript". Lineage: Eukaryota; Metazoa; Chordata; Mammalia; Primates; Hominidae. The record is from RNAcentral.